UGAGCAAUCUGCCCUUCUCUUCGGAAUAAGCGUGGGAAACCGCGUCUAAUGCCGAAUACGACCUCCUUUCGCAUGAUCGGAGGUGGAAAGCUCCGGCGGAGAAGGAUGAGCUCGCGGCCUAUCAGCUAGUUGGUGUGGGUAAUGGCCCCCACAAGGCGACGACGGGUAGCCGGCCUGAGAGGGUGACCGGCCACACUGGGACUGAGACACGGCCCAGACUCCUACGGGAGGNAG
This 234-nucleotide ribosomal RNA is filed under the name uncultured bacterium. RNAcentral's name for it is "partial 16S ribosomal RNA". It matches the Rfam family "Bacterial small subunit ribosomal RNA", at positions 118 to 351 of the family's 1533-position model. The record is from RNAcentral.